This 326-nucleotide ribosomal RNA is filed under the name Paenibacillus sp. EKM207P. RNAcentral describes it as "partial 23S ribosomal RNA". It matches the Rfam family "Bacterial large subunit ribosomal RNA", at positions 1217 to 1542 of the family's 2925-position model. The record is from RNAcentral. Lineage: Bacteria; Bacillati; Bacillota; Bacilli; Caryophanales; Paenibacillaceae.
UUGCAUCAGGGGUAGGGGAGCGUUGAAUGCGGGUUGAAGGUGUACCGGAAGGAGCGCUGGACUGCAUUCAAGUGAGAAUGCCGGUAUGAGUAACGAAAAGAUCUGUGAGAAUCAGAUCCGCCGAAAGCCUAAGGGUUCCUGAGGAAGGUUCGUCCGCUCAGGGUAAGUCGGGACCUAAGGCGAGGCCGAUAGGCGUAGUCGAAGGACAACAGGUAGAAAUUCCUGUACCACCGUAAUCCGUGAUGAGCGAUGGGGUGACGCAGUAGGGUAGUGACGCGGACUGAUGGAUGUCCGUCUAAGCAGUGAGGCUGAUGUGUAGGCAAAUC